UCCCUUGCUGCUGUCAUCUCCAAAAGCUGAGAGUAUCCUGAGUUUAGAUCAGUACUGGGGAGUAUUUUCCAUUUGGGAUAGAAGUAAAAUGCUGGGAAUCAUAAAGUUAUUUGAAUUUUCAGCUUUCAAAAUUUGUAUUUUCUUUCUGCUAAAAAAUAAUGGUGAAGAGAAUUAAAGGAGCUGUUCCAGGAAUCCUUUUAGGAUUUCUUCUCUCUGGGAGAUACAGCCAAAGUGUUCAAAACUAUUUGUCAUGACUGGAAAAGGAAGAGGGAGACAAGAACUUCAUUCUGGAGGGAAAUGACAAAAGGCCAUAGAGGUUCUGAAAAGCUGUUGAUAGCAAAGGGAGCUCAAGGAGAUUGUGGAACAGAAGGAAAUGCUCUGUGAAGCAACAUGAAACCUCCGUAUAAAGAACAAGCUCUUCGUUCUCCUGGAGAUAGCUCACAUGAAUAAUCUGCGUUAGAACUGUGACCUAUUGACUGAAAAAAGGAGUGAGCUUGUUUGAAAGUGCAAACAUCCCCAGUAAUUCUUAUCAAAACAGCUGGGUUUAGGCUAAUUUUACUUCCUCCUCUCCUGCUGUUGUGCUGUCAUAUGGAAGGGGAAUGACAGAUGACUGUGGAUGAAGUGGUGGCUUGGACCUUUCAGUGAACUGGAAAAAAUGGGAAUACAUGCAGUUUUGGGUAUAUAACACUGAUUAUCCACACACAAAGGAGUGGUAAAUGAAUAGCCUACCCUAAUAAUAACUCAGAGGAGUGAGUAGCUUUUCAGGGGAUAAGUGUUUUUAUUCCAUUGAGAAAAGCCAGGAAGACUUUAUGUCUGAAAAAAAAAAAAAAAAAGGAAAGGAAAAACAGUUGUUCUGUUGGGGUUUUCUUCUAUAGAAAUCUUGUGCUUUUUUUGUUUGAUUGGUUUUGUUUUGCCAUCAGAUAUGUCUAAAUGUGAAUUCUUUACUAUUUUAAUUAGUACAAAAUUAAUAUUUCUGUAGAUAUACUGUUUUAAGGCUGCUUAUUGACACAGGUUACAUAAAAAUGGAAACUACUGAAGAGGUGGCAAGAGCAGCUUAUGUUGAAAUAAGGGUCAAAUUAGUUGCUUUUCACAAGAUCCACAGUCUGAUAUGAUUUUCUGGAAUGUCCUUACUAUGAGAGAGAUGAUAAAAGGCAAAGGGCCAGAAUUUCUGGUCAACAUCAGCAAGCAGGGAGGUCAAUAUAAUAACUAUUCCAUGUGAUCCCACAGUAAAUACAUAGAGAAUCAAGUUCAGACUUGGAGUGAGAUGAUGUUAACUCCCACCAAAGUGCAACCUGGCCAAUAAAUCAUUUGUGUGAGGACUCUGCUUCUGCUAGGGAGCAGAGAUUUUUGUCUUCCAGAAGCUUACAUAAAAUGGCCAGGCUUGUGGUGAGCAUUGUCAAUAAAACCUUCUCAAUUUAAUGUA
Molecule: long non-coding RNA, 1423 nt
Organism: Passer domesticus (house sparrow)
Lineage: Eukaryota; Metazoa; Chordata; Aves; Passeriformes; Passeridae
Exons: 3
Source: RefSeq, a predicted model, not a curated record